This is a non-coding RNA of Neocallimastix lanati (nom. inval.), 72 nucleotides long. NCBI's taxonomy places the organism in Eukaryota, Fungi, Neocallimastigomycota, Neocallimastigomycetes, Neocallimastigales, Neocallimastigaceae. The record is from the annotation of a GenBank genome assembly.
GCAUGUUUGGCUCAGUGGUAGAGCCUCGCUCUUGUAAAGUGGAGGUCAGUAGUUCGAUUCAGUAAAUAAAAG